RNAcentral lists this long non-coding RNA (468 nucleotides) under Anser brachyrhynchus (Pink-footed goose). RNAcentral describes it as "lncRNA (ENSABRG00000018836.1)". Lineage: Eukaryota; Metazoa; Chordata; Aves; Anseriformes; Anatidae. The record is from RNAcentral.
AAGGAGCCUAAGCAAACCCUAAUGACUGAUCUUCCUUGUGGUUGUAAAGUAAACAGUUUACAGGUACUUUGAGAGGAGUGGACAACGAAGGAAAAUCAAAAGAACCCAAAAUCUAAACAAAUAUCUGAAGAACGAAAGGAGAUCACUGAGGGAAAACUAUCACCUCAGAUGUUUACAGUGAACUCAUAAACUAUGUAGCAGUGACCUAGCCUAGUACUAAAUUGCAUAAGAAAGGAACAAAAACCAAGAAGUCUACAGAAGGAAAUGACCAUGCUGGAGAUGGAAGAAGAGAAUCUAUUCAAUGUUCAAGCAAUAAGGAUAGUUUUAACUGCAAGACUUCUUCUAUAACCAACAGAUUUAUUCCUUGUUCCUUUGAGAAUAAAAAUCUCCGUGUACCAGUGAAAGUCACACCAAUAUAAUUUGCAGAGCUUGGUCCUUGAUGGACACAUUAACCUUAGUAGUUAGGAG